This 30-nucleotide non-coding RNA is filed under the name Homo sapiens (human). Lineage: Eukaryota; Metazoa; Chordata; Mammalia; Primates; Hominidae. The record is from RNAcentral.
UCUGGUAAAAAGUGCUGCAUCUAUGAUCUC